AAGUUGAAAAGUUUGGAAAGAUAUGUGAAUUUUCGUGUCAAGUUUCGGGACGAAACUUCUUUUAAGAGGGGUAGAUUGUAAUCCCCCGUAAUUUUAUAUAUUUUGUUUAUAUAUUUUAACGUAUAUUAAUACAUUUAAAUAUAAUUUACGGAUUUCAGAAAUGAAUAUGUAAUUAAAAUAUAAUUAUUUUAUUUCAUUUUGAAUAAUUUUAAUGAUUUAUGAAAUCAAAAUGUAUUUUUGAAUUUUACGUUAAAACGAAUUCGAAUUUCGAAAUCACGUUCGAUUGAAAUUAGCAAGCAAUCCUAACCAUUUUGGAUUCAAUAACCUAAAUCCUACUCCUAGCCCAAUUGGGUAAAGCCCAAACCAAUAAAACCCAAAACAAAUACUCCCUCCCCUUUUCUAAUGCACGUGAACCCAAAGAAACAAAAAAAAAAGAAGAGAAAGCCUCCUCUUGCUCCUUCACUGUUCACGUAACAAGCACCAAACCCUCAACACCCUCCUCCUUGCUGCCGCUGCUCACGCCGCCGGACCCACCAGCACGUCACCGGCAUCCCGUCGCCGCUGCACCACCACCACGCUGAGCGCUCGUGGUUCUGCAAUAACCGCCGUCCUCGUCGUCCACCCUUGCACGCAACACCACCUCGCCGCACCGCCGUGUGCCGCCCAGCCUUCCUCGUCGCCGGCAGUUCUCUCCUUUCCCUUAUUCGG
This is a long non-coding RNA of Spinacia oleracea (spinach), 708 nucleotides long. RefSeq lists it as uncharacterized. The record is from RefSeq and is a predicted model, not a curated record. NCBI's taxonomy places the organism in Eukaryota, Viridiplantae, Streptophyta, Magnoliopsida, Caryophyllales, Amaranthaceae. The transcript is spliced from 3 exons.